AUCUCGAUGUUAAAGAAUAAGUUUAAUAUUGAUUACUCGUUAAAGAAUUAUCAUAUAUUUCUAGCAACCUCUAUUAGGAAAACUGAGGGUACACCUUAAUCUUCUCUUCCUCUUCUGUUUUCCUUCAUUUCCAUUUAAUUCCUCUAUACCUCUUUUUUUCGAGUUUUGAAUUUGAUAUCAUGAUUUAUAAGGAACCCCCACUUCCAAUUGAGAGAUUGUGAGUUCGAGUCUCCCCAAGAGCAAGGUAGGAAAUUCUUGGAGGGAAGGAUAUAGGGGGUCUAUUUGGAAACCUUCUCUCUACCCCAGAGUAGGGAUAAGAUCUGCGUACACAGUAUUUUUC
This 340-nucleotide long non-coding RNA is filed under the name Nicotiana benthamiana. RNAcentral's name for it is "long non-coding RNA (NBEN_LNC027606)". Lineage: Eukaryota; Viridiplantae; Streptophyta; Magnoliopsida; Solanales; Solanaceae. The record is from RNAcentral.